GGUUUCCGUAGGUGAACCUGCGGAAGGAUCAUUCACACGU
Molecule: ribosomal RNA, 40 nt
Filed under: Sarcocystis felis
Lineage: Eukaryota; Apicomplexa; Conoidasida; Eucoccidiorida; Sarcocystidae
Description: partial small subunit ribosomal RNA
Source: RNAcentral